RNAcentral lists this transfer RNA (77 nucleotides) under Planctomycetota bacterium. RNAcentral describes it as "Planctomycetes bacterium (bioreactor metagenome) tRNA-Arg". It matches the Rfam family "tRNA". From Rfam's summary of the family: Transfer RNA (tRNA) molecules are approximately 80 nucleotides in length. Their secondary structure includes four short double-helical elements and three loops (D, anti-codon, and T loops). Further hydrogen bonds mediate the characteristic L-shaped molecular structure. tRNAs have two regions of fundamental functional importance: the anti-codon, which is responsible for specific mRNA codon recognition, and the 3' end, to which the tRNAs corresponding amino acid is attached (by aminoacyl-tRNA synthetases). tRNAs cope with the degeneracy of the genetic code in two manners: having more than one tRNA (with a specific anti-codon) for a particular amino acid; and 'wobble' base-pairing, i.e. permitting non-standard base-pairing at the 3rd anti-codon position. The record is from RNAcentral. Lineage: Bacteria; Pseudomonadati; Planctomycetota.
GCACCCUUAGCUCAAUUGGAUAGAGCAUCUGACUACGGAUCAGAAGGUUAGUGGUUCGAGUCCACUAGGGUGUACCA